AUUGAACGCUGGCGGCAGGCCUAACACAUGCAAGUCGAGCGAGUGGCGGACGGGUGAGUAACGUCUGGGAAACUGCCUGAUGGAGGGGGAUAACUACUGGAAACGGUAGCUAAUACCGCAUACCAUCAGAUGUGCCCAUAUGGGAUUAGCUAGUGGGUGGGGUAAAGGCUCACCUAGGCGACGAGCCCUAGCUGGUCUGAGAGGAUGACCAGCCAAAAUGGAACUGAGACACGGUCCAGACUCCUACGGGAGGCAGCAGGGGGGAAUAUUGCACAAUGGGCGCAAGCCUGAUGCAGCCAUGCCGCGUGUGUGAAGAAGGCCUUCGGGUUGUAAAGUACUUUCAGCGAGGAGGCGUUACGCGCAGAAGAAGCACCGGCUAACUCCGUGCCAGCAGCCGCGGUAAUAG
This 406-nucleotide ribosomal RNA is filed under the name uncultured bacterium. RNAcentral's name for it is "partial 16S ribosomal RNA". It matches the Rfam family "Bacterial small subunit ribosomal RNA", at positions 30 to 526 of the family's 1533-position model. The record is from RNAcentral.